RNAcentral lists this ribosomal RNA (270 nucleotides) under uncultured archaeon. RNAcentral's name for it is "partial 16S ribosomal RNA". It matches the Rfam family "Archaeal small subunit ribosomal RNA", at positions 477 to 746 of the family's 1478-position model. The record is from RNAcentral.
CUGCGCCACAAGUGGCAAUCACUUUUAUUGGGCCUAAAGCGUCCGUAGCCUGUCUUGUUAAUGCUUUGUGAAAUCGUCAUACUUAAUGUGACGACGUGCAGAGAAAACUGCAAGACUUGAAACCGGGAGGAGUCAGAGGUAUUUUGGGAGGAGCGGUAAAAUGCUAUAAUUCCUAAAAGACCACCUGUGGCGAAGGCGUCUGACUAGAACGGAUUUGACGGUGAGGGACGAAAGCCAGGGGAGCGAUCCGGAUUAGAUACCCGAGUAGUC